GAGUUCUGGGCCGCACGCGCGCUACACUGACCGAACCAGCGAGUUUAUCACCUUGGCCGGAAGGCCUGGGUAAUCUUGUGAAACUCGGUCGUGAUGGGGAUAGAGCAUUGCAAUUAUUGCUCUUCAACGAGGAAUACCUAGUAAGCGUGAGUCAUCAGCUCGCGUUGAAUUCGUCCCUGCCCUUUGUACACACCGCCCGUCGCUACUACCGAUUGAAUGGCUUAGUGAGGUCUCCGGAUUGGCUUCUGGGAGCCGGCAACGGCACCUAGUCGCUGAGAAGUUGAACGAACUUGGUCAUUUAGAGGAAGUAAAAGUCGUAACAAGGUUUCCGUAGGUGAACCUGCGGAAGGAUCAUUAAUGAAACGAAGGACGCUCUUUUUAGAGGUCCGACCAAUCAUUUACCUUUACACUGUGCACAUACUACUUUUUACACCAAUUUUUAACGCAUUAGUUUUAAGAAUGUAAAAUCAGUCUCGAAAGAGCAUAAAAUAAACAAAACUUUCAGCAACGGAUCUCUUGGCUCUCGCAUCGAUGAAGAACGCAGCGAAAUGCGAUACGUAAUGUGAAUUGCAGAAUUCAGUGAAUCAUCGAAUCUUUGAACGCACCUUGCACUCUUUGGUAUUCCGAAGAGUAUGUCUGUUUGAGUGUCAUGAAACUCUCAACCCCCUCAUUUUGUAAUGAAAUGCAGCGUGGGCUUGGAUUAUGGCUGUCUGUCGGCGUAAUUGCCGACUCAGCUGAAAUAUACGAGCAACCCAGUUUAAAACCCUGACGGCUUGACUCGGCGUAAUAACUAUUUCGCUGAGGACGUCUAACCUUUAAAUCGUUAGUGGGGCUUCUAAUGCAUUUACAAUUUAAGCUUUAGACCUCAAAUCAGUCAGGACUACCCGCUGGAACUUAAGCAUAUCAAUAAGCGGGAGGGAAAAGAAACCUAACCAGGGGAUUCCCCCUA
This 949-nucleotide ribosomal RNA is filed under the name Erythrobasidium clade sp. LM416. Its description in RNAcentral is "eukaryotic LSU rRNA". The stretch from base 1 to 357 matches the Rfam family "Eukaryotic small subunit ribosomal RNA", at positions 1476 to 1831 of the family's 1831-position model. The record is from RNAcentral. Lineage: Eukaryota; Fungi; Basidiomycota; Cystobasidiomycetes; Erythrobasidiales; Erythrobasidiaceae.